CACACAAAUAGGGUAUUUAGAAAAGAACAAGAAUAAUCAAUUUAUAUUAAAAAAACUAUAUUUUUUUAAUUGUGAUGCACUAGAAAAGAAAAUAUUACUAUCUUUAUUUUUAUUUACAUGGUUAGGUAGCAAAGAAAAAGAAAAAAAAGAGGCAUAUACUGAUAUAGUAGUGGCAUGCUCACAUAUAUAUAUGCGAACAAAUAUACACACAUAUUAGGUGUGUUUGCAGCGGAAGCUAAUAUAUAAAUAAUACUGUAGAAGAACAUAAUAUUGGUACGUAUAAGAUGUAUAGUGAUGAUAAAACAUGUUAUAGUAACUUUCAGAGUAAUAGGAUUAAGCAUGAUAUAAUAAAAAGUGCAGUAUAUGGUAAAAACGGCACAAGCGGUACAAACGAAAUGAACAACAUGUAUAACCCUAACAAUAUGAUGUACAACCCUAACUAUAUGAUGUACAACCCAAACGAUACGAUGUACAGCAGAAACGAUACAAUGUACAGUAGAAACGAUACAAUGUACAGCAGAAACGAUACAAUAUACAGCAGAAACGAUACGAUGUACAACCCAAACGAUACGAUGUACAGCAGAAACGAUACGAUGUACAGCAAAAACGAUACGAUGUACAGCAAAAAUAGCACACUGUUAGAUAAGAACUUAAUUAUAGACAGUUUAAAUGAUGUACAGAGUAAAACAUUAAAAGAAAUGGGUUAUAACAUAGCAGAAAAUAACAAUGGAAAUAUGAAAGAAAGGAAUGAAAAUUAUACAAAUUCCUUUGCCAAUUUGUUAUAUUUUAAAAAACUAAAGUUAAAUAAAAAAUUAUUUAGUAAAUUAGAAAAUAAAAACGUCGUAAUAUAUUUGAAAUAUAAAAAUACUGUAUGUACAAGUGAAAAUAUAAAAAUAACAAAUUACGAAAUGAAUGAUUUAUUUUUAUGUUUUUUAAUUACUGAACCGUUUAUAAAGGAUGAAAAAAAAUUAAUAAAAGUAUAUAUCAAAUAUUUUAAAAAUAAUAAAUAUAAAAUAUUAUCUUUCGGAUUAAUACAGCUAAAUUUUGAAGAAUUCACAGAAAAUUUUUACAAUAAAAAAAUAUAUUUAUUAUGUUAUGAUAAAAAAAAAAAUAAAUAUAUAUUUGGUUAUUUUAUAAUAAUGUUAGCAAAUCAAGUAAAAUGGACUGUAUGUAAUAAAAGAAUAUCAUAUGAACACAUUAACAAUUCAUAUUUUG
Molecule: long non-coding RNA, 1215 nt
Filed under: Piliocolobus tephrosceles (Ugandan red Colobus)
Lineage: Eukaryota; Metazoa; Chordata; Mammalia; Primates; Cercopithecidae
Description: lncRNA (ENSPTEG00000003968.1)
Source: RNAcentral